This 932-nucleotide ribosomal RNA is filed under the name Halomonas elongata. RNAcentral describes it as "bacterial SSU rRNA". It matches the Rfam family "Bacterial small subunit ribosomal RNA", at positions 56 to 981 of the family's 1533-position model. The record is from RNAcentral. Lineage: Bacteria; Pseudomonadati; Pseudomonadota; Gammaproteobacteria; Oceanospirillales; Halomonadaceae.
UGCAGUCGAGCGGAACGAUCCUAGCUUGCUAGGAGGCGUCGAGCGGCGGACGGGUGAGUAAUGCAUAGGAAUCUGCCCGGUAGUGGGGGAUAACUUGAGGAAACUCAAGCUAAUACCGCAUACGCCCUACGGGGGAAAGCAGGGGCUCUUCGGACCUUGCGCUAUCGGAUGAGCUUAUGUCGGAUUAGCUGGUUGGUGAGGUAACGGCUCACCAAGGCGACGAUCCGUAGCUGGUCUGAGAGGAUGAUCAGCCACAUCGGGACUGAGACACGGCCCGAACUCCUACGGGAGGCAGCAGUGGGGAAUAUUGGACAAUGGGGGCAACCCUGAUCCAGCCAUGCCGCGUGUGUGAAGAAGGCCCUCGGGUUGUAAAGCACUUUCAGCGAGGAAGAAUGCUUGUCGGUUAAUACCCGGCAAGGGAGACAUCACUCGCAGAAGAAGCACCGGCUAACUCCGUGCCAGCAGCCGCGGUAAUACGGAGGGUGCGAGCGUUAAUCGGAAUUACUGGGCGUAAAGCGUGCGUAGGCGGCUUGAUAAGCCGGUUGUGAAAGCCCCGGGCUCAACCUGGGAACGGCAUCCGGAACUGUUAGGCUAGAGUGCAGGAGAGGAAGGUAGAAUUCCCGGUGUAGCGGUGAAAUGCGUAGAGAUCGGGAGGAAUACCAGUGGCGAAGGCGGCCUUCUGGACUGACACUGACGCUGAGGUACGAAAGCGUGGGUAGCAAACAGGAUUAGAUACCCUGGUAGUCCACGCCGUAAACGAUGUCGACUAGCCGUUGGGGUCCUCGAGACCUUUGUGGCGCAGUUAACGCACUAAGUCGACCGCCUGGGGAGUACGGCCGCAAGGUUAAAACUCAAAUGAAUUGACGGGGGCCCGCACAAGCGGUGGAGCAUGUGGUUUAAUUCGAUGCAACGCGAAGAACCUUACCUACUCU